This 148-nucleotide ribosomal RNA is filed under the name uncultured Treponema sp. RNAcentral describes it as "partial 16S ribosomal RNA". It matches the Rfam family "Bacterial small subunit ribosomal RNA", at positions 1236 to 1382 of the family's 1533-position model. The record is from RNAcentral. Lineage: Bacteria; Pseudomonadati; Spirochaetota; Spirochaetia; Treponematales; Treponemataceae.
GCUACAAAGCGACGCUAAACCGCGAGGUCACGCAAAACGCAAAAAAGCUACCGUAGUUCGGAUUGAAGUCUGAAACCCGACUUCAUGAAGUUGGAAUCGCUAGUAAUCGCGCAUCAGCACGGCCGCGGUCGAAUACGUUCCGGGCCUU